GGAGAGUUAUCGAAGUGGUCAUAACGGGCCUGACUCGAAAUCAGGUAAUCCCUAACGGGACCGAGGGUUCGAAUCCCUCACUCUCCG
This 87-nucleotide transfer RNA is filed under the name Eubacterium sp. CAG:180. It matches the Rfam family "tRNA". From Rfam's summary of the family: Transfer RNA (tRNA) molecules are approximately 80 nucleotides in length. Their secondary structure includes four short double-helical elements and three loops (D, anti-codon, and T loops). The record is from Rfam by way of RNAcentral. Lineage: Bacteria; Bacillati; Bacillota; Clostridia; Eubacteriales; Eubacteriaceae.